This 67-nucleotide transfer RNA is filed under the name Monochamus saltuarius. Its description in RNAcentral is "tRNA-Ser". The record is from RNAcentral. Lineage: Eukaryota; Metazoa; Arthropoda; Insecta; Coleoptera; Cerambycidae.
GAAAUAGGUUAUUCAAGAUUAGGCUUCUAACUUAAAACUUAAGCGAUGAAAUUUCGUUUAUAUUUCU